GACGAACGCUGGCGGCGUGCUUAACACAUGCAAGUCGAACGGAAAGGCCCUGCUUUUGUUGGGUUCUCGUGUGGCGAACGGGUGAGUAACACGUGAGUAACCUGCCCUUGACUUUGUGAUAACUUCAGGAAACUGGGGCUAAUACCGGAUAGGAUCUCCUGCUGCAUGGUGGGGGUUGGUAAGUUUCGGCGGUGGGGGAUGGAUUCGCGGCUUAUCAGCUUCUUUGUGGGGUAGUGGCGUACCAAGCGUUUGACGGGUAGCCGGCCUGAGAGGGUGACCGGCCACCUUGGGACUGAGAUACGGACCAGUAUGCUACGGGAGGCAGCAGUGGGGAACAUUGCAGAGUGGGCGGGCGUCUGAGACGGAAGCGUCGCGUGCGGAAUGACGGGCUUCGGGUUGUAAACAGAUUUCGACUGUACCGAAGAGUGCGUGACGGUAAUGGGUAAAGAAGCAACGGCUAACUACGUG
Molecule: ribosomal RNA, 468 nt
Filed under: uncultured bacterium
Lineage: Bacteria
Description: partial 16S ribosomal RNA
Rfam family: Bacterial small subunit ribosomal RNA
Source: RNAcentral